CAUGUAUAGGUUUUCCGUUAUUGUUUGUGUGGCACCAAGGACUCCGCAGGCCUAUAAAUGUUGAAGGAAUUUAAAAAAUAUGAACAGUUGUACUCCAUAAGUCUACAGAAGUGUAAAGUGAGACAUUACUUUUAAUACAUAAAAAUGCUGGCUAAGUUGAUUGUUCUGUUUGCCGUGGUGGCUGUGGCUCUGGCUAGGCCGCAACUCUAUUCUGGCUACGGCUACAGCAACUACGGUGUCGGAUAUCCUAGUUAUGGCUACAGCGGAUAUUCUGGCUACAGCAGCCCUGUCGCGUACGGUGGUUACGGUGCUUAUGGUGCUUCGCCAUACAACUACGGCUAUGGAUACGGCUACUAAAUCUAGAAUUCGUAGUGAUUUUAUGUUCGUAAAUUCUUUUAGUUGUCUUUAGAUUGGCUUUAAACUCAUAAUUCGGCUCGCUGAUUAUGUUUUAUUCGUUUGUAUAAAUUGUUUGUUUUUAUGAGAAUUAUAUGGUUUUUGUAAACAUG
Manduca sexta (tobacco hornworm) is the source of this 506-nucleotide long non-coding RNA. RefSeq lists it as uncharacterized. NCBI's taxonomy places the organism in Eukaryota, Metazoa, Arthropoda, Insecta, Lepidoptera, Sphingidae. The transcript has 2 exons. The record is from RefSeq and is a predicted model, not a curated record.